Trichonephila clavipes is the source of this 73-nucleotide non-coding RNA. The record is from the annotation of a GenBank genome assembly. Lineage: Eukaryota; Metazoa; Arthropoda; Arachnida; Araneae; Nephilidae.
GUAUCUGUAGCGCAACUCUUAGCGCGUUAGACUUCUAGUCUAAAGAUCGUGGGUCCAAAUCCCACCUGAUAUA